UACGUAGGGGGCAAGCGUUGUCCGGAAUCAUUGGGCGUAAAGCGCGUGUAGGCGGCUUGGCAAGUCGGGUGUGAAAUCCCUCAGCUUAACUGAGGAAGUGCGCCCGAAACUGCUGUGCUUGAGUACUGGAGAGGGUGGCGGAAUUCCCCAUGUAGAGGUGAAAUUCGUAGAUAUGGGGGAGGAACACCGGUGGCGAAGGCGGCCACCUGGCCAGAUACUGACGCUGAGACGCGAAAGCGUGGGUAGCAAACAGGG
Molecule: ribosomal RNA, 255 nt
Filed under: uncultured bacterium
Lineage: Bacteria
Description: partial 16S ribosomal RNA
Rfam family: Bacterial small subunit ribosomal RNA
Source: RNAcentral